GACGAACGCUGGCGGCGUGCCUAACACAUGCAAGUCGAACGGAAAGGCCCUGCUUUUGUUGGGUGCUCGAGCGGCGAACGGGUGAGUAACACGUGAGUAACCUGCCCUUGACCCUGGGAUAACUUCAGGAAACAGGGGCAAAUACCGGAUAGGAGCCCCUGCUGCAAGGUGGGGGUUGGUAAGUUUCGGCGGUUGGGGAUGGUCUCGCGGCUUAUUAGCUUGUUGGUGGGGUAGUGGCUUACCAAGGCUUUGACGGGUAGCCGGCCUGGGAGGGUGACCGGCCACAUUGGGACUGAGAGACGGCCCAGACUCCUACGGGAGGCAGCAGUGGGGAAUAUUGCACAAUAGGCGGAAGCCUGAUGCAGCAACGCCGCGUGCGGGAUGACGGCCUUCGGGUUGUAAGCCACUUUCGCCGGUGACGAAACGUGAGUGACGGUAAUGGGUAAGGAAGCACCGGCUAACUACGUG
This 468-nucleotide ribosomal RNA is filed under the name uncultured bacterium. RNAcentral's name for it is "partial 16S ribosomal RNA". It matches the Rfam family "Bacterial small subunit ribosomal RNA", at positions 28 to 507 of the family's 1533-position model. The record is from RNAcentral.